GGGUUGUGAGGUUAAGCGACUAAGCGUACACGGUGGAUGCCCUGGCAGUCAGAGGCGAUGAAGGACGUGCUAAUCUGCGAUAAGCGUCGGUAAGGUGAUAUGAACCGUUAUAACCGGCGAUUUCCGAAUGGGGAAACCCAGUGUGAUUCGUCACACUAUCAUUAACUGAAUCC
This 173-nucleotide ribosomal RNA is filed under the name Escherichia coli. RNAcentral's name for it is "partial 23S ribosomal RNA". It matches the Rfam family "Bacterial large subunit ribosomal RNA", at positions 1 to 165 of the family's 2925-position model. Lineage: Bacteria; Pseudomonadati; Pseudomonadota; Gammaproteobacteria; Enterobacterales; Enterobacteriaceae. The record is from RNAcentral. RNAcentral also lists the same sequence under 1 other name.